Molecule: ribosomal RNA, 1107 nt
Filed under: uncultured organism
Description: bacterial SSU rRNA
Rfam family: Bacterial small subunit ribosomal RNA
Source: RNAcentral
CCUCGAAGUCGGGAUAGCCUUGGGAAACGAGAUUAUACCGGAUGUGGUGUUUUCCGCAUGGUUUACAGCUGAAGUUUUUCGCUUCGAGAUGGGCUCGCGUCCCAUCAGCUAGUUGGUGAGGUAACGGCUCACCAAGGCAGCGACGGAUAGGUGGUCUGAGAGGAUGGUCACCCACACUGGGACUGAGACACUGCCCAGACUCCUACGGGAGGCUGCAGUCGAGAAUCUUCCGCAAUGCGCGAAAGCGUGACGGAGCGAUGCCGCGUGCCGGAUGAAGGCCUUCGGGUCGUAAACGGCUGUCACCCGGAACGAAUAUUGACGGUACCGGGAGAGGAAGCCACGGCUAACUACGUGCCAGCAGCCGCGGUAAUACGUAGGUGGCUAGCGUUAUUCGGAUUUAUUGGGCGUAAAGGGUUCGUAGGGGGCCGAGUAAGUCUGAUGUGAAAUCCAACGGCUCAACCGUUGAACUGCAUUGGAUACUGCCCGGCUAGAGUACUGGAGAGGUAAGCAGAAUUCCUGGUGUAGCGGUGGAAUGCGUAGAUAUCAGGAGGAAUACCGACGGCGAAGGCAGCUUACUGGACAGUUACUGACCCUCAUGAACGAAAGCUAGGGGAGCAAACAGGAUUAGAUACCCUGGUAGUCCUAGCUGUAAACGUUGUUCACUAGAUGUAGGCGGAUUGGUCCCGUCUGUGUCCAAGCUAACGUGAUAAGUGAACCGCCUGGGGAGUACGGCCGCAAGGCUAAAACUCAAAGGAAUUGACGGGGGCCCGCACAAGCGGUGGAGCAUGUGGCUUAAUUCGAGGCAACGCGAAGAACCUUACCUGGGUUUGACAUAUAUCUGACCGCCAUGGAAACAUGGUUUCUCUUCGAAGCGGAUAUACAGAUGCUGCAUGGCUGUCGUCAGCUCGUGCCGUGAGGUGUUCGGUUAAGUCCGGCAACGAGCGCAACCCGUGCUGCUAGUUACCAGCGAGUAAUGUCGGGGACUCUAGCAGGACUGCCCGUGCUGAGCGGGAGCGAAGGCGCGGACGACGUCAAGUCAGUAUGGCUCUUACACCCAGGGCUGCACACGUGCUACAAUGACCGGUACAAUGGGAUGCCACUCUGCGA